GUCGAGGGGCGAUGGGGGCGGCGCCUGAGGGGCGGGGGGCGGCCGCCUCUGCCCUCUUGCGAGUGGCCUCGGAUCUGUGUGUACCCCUUUAAGAAGGAGCCGCUCGAGCUGACGGUUGGGAUUUGAAGUUCUUCCUCCCUCUUUGGAAGUCUGGACGGAUGGGGGGUGUUGCUAUGGCGACGGCACCCUCCCCACGCCCCCCCCCCCUUUCCUUGAGGACGCCCCGACGACUCCGGUCCUCUUUUCGCUGUCAUGUGAUGGACUCGCGUAGCCCUCCCCGCCUCCCAUUCCUGUUCAAAUGCAGUUCAGUUUUCCGUUUCGGUGGGGUCUGAUCGGUUUUGCUUCAAACUUGCGCGCUCCCGGCUGUCAUUCAGUGGGCUGCUCCGGGUAGCGGGAAGUACUGGGACUCCCUUACCUUGUUGCGGUCGCUGCUUUUCCUCACUCAGAGUGCGACGUGUGCCCACAGCUGUUACCCAGCAGGUUUUGAGAGUAUUUUAGAAGGGCUUUAUGGACCACGGCUACGAAGAGACCUCAGUUUAUUUGAAGACUGUGAACCAGAAGAGCUGACUGACUGGUCUAUGGAUGAAAAAUGUUCAUUUUGUAACCUACAGAGAGAAGCAGUCAGUGAUUGUAUACCAUCUCUUGAUUCUUCACAGUCAACGCCAACAGAGGAGCUAUCAUCUCAGGGCCAGUCCCACACUGAUAAGAUUGAAUGCCAAGCAGAAAGUUACCUAAAUGCACUCUUUCGAAAGAAAGAUCUUCCUCAGAACUGUGAUCCUAACAUUCCCUUAGUUGCUCAGGAAUUAAUGAAAAAAAUGAUACGUCAGUUUGCAAUUGAGUACAUCUCAAAAAGCGGUAAAAUUCAAGAAAAUAGAAAUGGUUCAAUUGGAGCAAGUCUCGUGUGUAAAAGUAUCCAAAUGAACCAAGCAGACAACUGCCUUCAGGAUGAGCAAGAAGGCCCCUUAGACCUCACUGUGACUCGAACGCAAGAGCAAACUGCUCAGCAAGGGGAUGGAGUGUUAGAUCUCUCUACAAAGAAAACCAGCAUAAAGUCUGAAGAGUCAUCCAUAAGUGAUCCUUCUUCUGAAAAUGCAGUGGCUGGUUCAACUGUUGAUGCAAAAUCAGAGGAAGCUACUAAAAUGGAAAAAGGAAAAUCAGCAUUAAGCAAAGUUUUGGAAUCUUUGUGCAUACAUCACCAUCAACAAGUUUUGGCUAUGUUGAAAUUUCUAGUCCAAGAGCAGAAUGCUGCUUCUCUUUGCUGUUGUAAUUCAUCAUGUGCUAUGUCUUCAGAAUCUCAAAAGCCCCUAUUGGAGGAUGGUUUUCAUGGUCUGUUCUGUAGCUGUGAAUAUAGACUGGCAGAAAGAGGGUGUUUACAGAAUGAGAGACAAAGCCCUGGUCUAGUGCCUCUGCCAGUCUGUAUUAAAGAAAUACAGUGUUUGUCUUGUCAAACUGUAACUGUUGAACACAUUAAGACAGUAAUGAAUCGAGGAAUUGAAAACAGUUCUAAUCCACACAGGUGCUGUUGUGGACAAUUAGCAAAGACUCAGUCUACAAAACCAGCCUGUCACAGUCCUCCUUUGUCACGGGAAGUUUGUGAUCUUUCAGUCACUCUUCAAAAUACCUGUAGAUCUCGAAGUCCCUCGCCCCCACCAUUAUCACCUGUGGAGACUGGAGGAUUGGAAAAAUGGAAAGACAUCGUCUCAGAGCUUUCAGCUGUAGAAAAUAACAAACUUGAGGCAAGCAUUAACCAGCCUCCAUCUCUUACACCUGCAGAGAUAAGCACUCACAAAUGUGGCCAUGACAGCAAACUACAUAAAACUAAGAAGUCUGGUAACACUGAUUCUGUGCUCUUGGGGACCAGUGGUAGUUAUACUGCAAAUCAUGAAAAGGGUGAGACAGCUGUAAUUUUUCAAGAUUUAAUGGACCGUAUUAAUGAAAAAUUAAAAUCAAUAGAAACCACAGAUAUAUCUAACCUCAUAAAAUUAUCUAGUACUGAUUGUGAUUCAGACAAUGAUUUUAAACUGGGAGAUUUAAUAACAUCUCUCUUGCACAGUGCAACAGCCAGUGAUUAUAGUUUUAUGGAACUGCUGAGUCAACAUGAUAAAAAGGUAGAAAAUAAAAUUAUUCAGACAAGGUUUCGAAAACGUCAACAAACGUUACUUGCAAUACACAACUCUCCUGAUUCACCAGUGAUCAGAAGGCAAUCUUUACAGAUAAAAAGAGAACUUGCCAGUUUUGAUGAAAACUUUCUGAGAAGAAGGUACAGUGAAAAAAAUUCAAGAAAAUUAUCAUACAGUGAUAAGAUGCUUUCAGUGAACAAAGAAGAAUUCCAGCCUUGUCAAGAGCCUUUAAAAAUUUCAAAAAGCUUUCAAAAUGAAAAUCAUGAAGAAACAUUUACACCAAAUGAGGUAGCACCAUCGAUUCAGGUGCCUCUUGGGAGUUUAGAAACUAACUUGGCUCUUGAUCAAUUUUCAGAAAAUUUUAAAGCAACUUCAUUUGAGAAAAUGAGCCAAAGAAAAUCACAGGAGAGAUCUACAGCUGAGAAACCAACUGUACAAAGUAGUAGGGAAAAUACAAAACUAGAAAAUACUCCAACACUUUUGAGAACUGAUGCUCCUCUUUUGAGCAGAACUAAACGAAAUAUUGUGCCUCCAGGGUGGUAUUCCAUAUAUGUAACAAACGAUUCUGUUUCUAAAAAAUUCCUUGAGGGCAAAAGAGUAUCUGGCUCUGCUCACAGAAAAGAUCUAGGAGAUCCAACUGAAAGUUUUCAAAAUAUAGACUUAAAUAAAAUUGCAAUGAAUUCUAGUUUGCAAGUUGUUGUGGAGCGUUUAGAAGAUACAAUAAAUAUGGCUCAAAGGUCUUGGACUAGUCAAGAAUUAUCUGAAGGAUGUAAAGCAUCCAAAAAAUUGAUAGAAGCAGGUGAUAAAGACCAAAAUGCUGGGAGAGAUUUGACUUUAAGUAGAAUGGCUUGUAAAAAUCAGGGUUUAUCAAAAUCUGUGUUCGCAUCUAGCAGUAAAAGAAGUCAUGACAUGUCUGUCAUGGAUUUGAACAAGACACUUGAUAAUCUGAAGACAUCACCCAUUUUAGAGAAAGGUAGCUCAACAGCCAGUGUUGAAAGUUUGCCAACAAAAUGCGAAGGCAUUGAAAGUUCUGUUUCUAACUAUUUUAGUCCUAUCAAACUCAUGUUUUUAUCUGAGAUUAAAAGCAGUGAAGGCGUCAAAUACACUUUGACUUCCGUCAGCACAUCACAGUCAAAUGCUGAUUUUGAUUCUCACAAACAUAAAAACCAUCAGAUAACUGGAAGAAAAAGAGAAACAACUGAAGAUACACCAAACACUAACUUGGAAGAUUAUAGUUCUAAUCAUCAUGUUUCAAACCUUCAAAGUGAAUUGAACCAAUUUAACUGUGUACUUGAGGCUACACCAUCAUCUGCAGAGUUUACUGACAAUUUAAACAAUGAUAAGCCACAAGAAGACCCUAAGGAAAAGUCAAAUGGUGCUGUUGAUUUACCAUAUAAAAGAAAACCAGGUAGACCUAAAAAAAUCGGUCCCCAAGUUGUGAAGCAGGUUAAAAGGCCAAUUGGAAGACCACCAAAACCUAAAGCUGGUCAAACAAAUGUCAGUGUUUCCCAAAAUGAAUCUUUUAACCCUAGAAAGGAAAAUUCAGAGUCCUUCUUAUCAGAAGUCAAAGAUGUUUGCAGGAAGAGUAUUAUUGUCACUGUUGUUUAUGGAAGGUCAAGAAGAACCAAAAGAUGUGUUUCUGAAGGAAGCACGAACAUCAGCAACAUCUCACUGAACAGUGAUGUCUCUGACUUUUCAGUUAACUCUAGUUGUCUCAGAAAUACUAAAGCUCAUGAGAUUGGCUCUGGUGAAAGUCUGAGUGCUGGCUCAAGAUUGACAACUCAAAGUGGGGUUUGUGAUUCUGACUUUGAAUAUAUUAGACCUAUCAAGAGCAAGUCUAUGAUACCUCAGACUUCCAAGAACAUUAUUCGACCAAACCAAAAACCUUUAUCAAUUGUUAGGAAGCCUGGUCGACCUGCAAAAGUGAAAAUUUCUGGUAUAUCUGUGACUGUUAAUAGAAUUUCACCUCAGGAAAGAGAAGUAUGUAUUAGCAGCUGCUUACCUCCUUUAGAUCAGGAGAUAAUGUUAGAGAAAACUUGCCUAGAAGAAAAGCUUGACCAGCAGUGCAGUAAUGUGGAUAACAUCAAGCACACCAAUGUUGACAUAUUUAAGAAUGAAUCAAAUAGUACUGUUGUUUCUAUACCUCCAAAACAUUCUAUUAGGGCUAGAAAACCUUCUUUGCAUUUCUUACAUUCAUUUGCAUCUUCUGGCUCACUUACUUACAAAAAUGCUCUCCGUCAUAAAUCAUGUAAACUCCAUUUGCAUAAAUGCAAAAAUCCAAAGAAAAAAUACAGGCAGUCGGGUUUUAGACUAGCUUCCAAAGGUAUCCCACGAUCUAGAUGUUCAAAGAAAGCAAAAAAAUAUUUGGAAGAUAAAAAAUUAAUGCCCAUUUCUGAAGUGUCCUUGGACCCUGUAAUUUCAUCCAACCCUUUACUAAGGUGGUGGGCUACUUCUGCUUCAAAUGAUUCCUUGUUAGAGGAAUUAAACAAUAGAUUUGAACAAAUAACAAAUGCGUGGGUACAGGUGAGUAAAGAUGAAGCUCAAAAUUUUGUUCAUAAAACAGAAUACACUAAAGGUGAUCAUUGCGAAGCAGCAAGCCCUCUGGAAACUUGUCUUCUAGAACUUGAAGUUUCACCUGUAAAAAUGCUUUUUCAGAAAAAGUAUAAUUUGAAUGAACUUUGUACCUGGUUUAUGCAAACAACAGAAACACAGUCCCUUUCACUAGUUAGAAAAGCAAAUGCUCGAAACCCUUUGGAAGUGAUAAGCACCAAGGGCAUUAAGUUAGGGGUGAAAUGCUGUGGAUUUAAUGCCAGCCCCUUCAGGAAGCACUUUAAAAAAUUUGCAGUCUCUUCUCCUUCAAAACCAGCUGGGAAAUUUCAUAUACUACAUAAAAUGGUUGGCUCACCACUCUUAAAUGUGAAAAGUAAUUUAACAUUAGCAAGGUUGAAAAGGACUGAGUUUAAGAAUUUGCACUGUGAGAGGUGGAGAAGAGAAGAAAGGCCAUACAGCCACAGAACAGUUGAUUGGAGCUCAAAAAGAAGGAACUUAAGAUUGUUCUGCCAGAAUCCAUCUUGGACUAACUCAGAGGGGCAGACAAAUGCAGAGACAUCACUCAAUGGGAAAGGCACAGUAGGUAACCAGUGGGCCUCACCCCCAGAACCCAGAGUCACCUUUGCUAAAAAGAGGGUGGCAGUACAUGACUUCAGAACACAUGCUAGUUUAGAGAGUAAGUUUAAUGGAACAGGGGGUGGCCAGACUGACUCUGAAAAGGAACAAAUAAUGGAAAGUGUAUCUUCCCAUAAUUGGAGGUCAAAAACUUUAAAAGACUGUAGAAUAUUUUUGAGGAAGAUCAACUGUCUUGAACACAGAAACACUUUUAAGCUAAAUACAAUAAUUUAUUCUCCUGAAUCUGUUGACAGUGGAGGUAGUCAGGCACAACCAGAAGAAUCAAAGCGUUUUAGUUUAAGGUCCCAUUCUGCAAGGCAAAAUUCCUUUAAAAAGCAAAAUGAAGAAAGAGCAAAUCCCAAAGCAAAUAGUCCUGCAAGUAGUAGAUUGACUGGUGAGCUCGACAGCAGUCACUUAAGUAAGCAUGUUAACUUUGACAAGAACCCCGAUCAUUCUGAGGCUCUUAGCAAAUUAAGCAAAAGAAAAAGACCACCAUGGAAGACCACAGAAAUGUCAGCAAAAAGGCAUAAACGACAGUCUUGCAACAGUGGACAAAUGGCAAACUAUUGUACAAAAUCCCAAGUAGGUAAGUUGUUCUCUCCUUCAUUUUAAAGUUUCAUUGUAGGUGCCUUGAGUCAACCAUAAGCUAGUGGGUAGAAAAGGAACAGCUAACUACAUUCUAAUUUAUUUCUAAAAUAUUUGAACAACUUAAUUUCUUGGCACCUAGUAUGAAACUCCUGAAAUUAGGUACUACUAGAUGUAGUGCACUUAACCGCUAAGCUUCAGCAUUCAAACACAAGCAAAUACAUUUAGAAGAGACAUGAAGAACAUUGUGAAAACAGGCCGUGAAUGUAUUUGGUAGGUGACUGUGAAAAGCUAAUUAAAAAUUUACUGCAGGCUAAUACUGGCUCACUCUCAAAAAUACCAACCAUGAGAACAUACAGAAAACAGCUAAAGUGGUCUCAUUAGAGACUAACAUUGUAAUCCUAAGGUGUAAAUCUCCCUCAUUAAGCUGUUACUCUAUUUGAUACUGCUUUGAAAACGUACUGCAAGACUGCUUUUUUAGAAGGUGGUAUAUACUAAUUUUUUUUCAAUGAUCAGCAAGUAUAAUAAGUGGACUUUUAUGAAUUAGAGCUCACUUGUGCAGAUAGAAAGAGGAGGAUUCCUUUAUGGAGCUGAGCAAGUCACUGUUAGGGUCAUUUCAGAUUGAGAAUGGAAUACGAAAUUAAGUGAUGUACCUUAUUAAGAUACACUGACAUUUCAAGGCCAGCCUGGUCUACAAAGUGAGUUCCAGGACAGCUAGGGCUACACAGAGAAACCCUGUCUUGUAAAACCAAGGAGGAAAAAAAUAAAGAUACACUAACAUAGCUUCGGUACUGAUGAAUGUAGUGAUAAUAUGAGCAUGGUAGUUGCCUGAAUAGCCGUUUUUCGUCUGCUUAUUUGGUAGGUACUAAACAGUGCAGGAUAUUAGGUAGGAGACUUUACAGAUUCCAUCUUCACCACGAAAGAAUGCCAAUUUAUAUAUUUAGGAAAAAAGAAUAUUUUAUGGCUCAUGUUCAUUUUUAUAUUUGUAUAACUUAGAAAAAUCUUUGGGGACUUAGGGAAGUAUUAGUGUCUUACUAGAGUCAAUAACAUCAGGUCUCAUUAAAAUAUUAAGCACAAUAAUUAAGUUGAAGAGUUUUAUAUAGGCUUUAUGUGUACCCCCACCCCCAGGUCAGUUAACUGAAUAAUUUUAACAUGCAUACUCCAGUACUCUGUAACAUAUAAUGAUAAAAAUUUCAAAUAUCUGGCAUGAAAAAUGCUUAAAGGAGGUCAAAGUAGACUCUCCAUUACAAAAGAUGAAUGGAAACUCUGAAGAAUAACUUAGGUUUGAUCCUCAAGAAGGCUAAAAAUAAUAUUAUAACAGGUGCUUCAUCAGGAAUAUACCUACUAGCAAAGUUUUAAAAGCUUGUAAUUCACCUAGAACAUGUGUACAAGUUUCACGAAGAAUAAAAUAUAGUUUCAUUUUACUUGUGUUUCAUUUUCACCUCAUGCUGUUGCAGACGUUCUAAAGUGAUUUCACUGUGCAACAGAACCGCAUUUUAUCCUUGCAGCUUCCUACCCAUUGUACUUUCCUAACAAUCAAGCACAGUCUCAACUUUAAUAUUUCUUCACCCUGUCAAAUGUAAGAUUCCUAAGAUAGGAAGAUGACAGAUAUUUAAAUAUCACUUUUGCAAAUUGAUUUUAAAAUCCUUUGUGAGUAUUUUAAAAAUUAGUAACAUAUAAAGAAUUGUUUUUCACCUUUUCCAUUUUAAAAUUUGCUAGUGCUGUUUGCUGUUCUGCUUGAAGUUUAUUCAUCUUUACUGAUAACUUUCCUUCUUUAUUUUUGACAUUUUUUAAAUCAACGAGAUUAUUAUUUUUAGUUAUAUUUAUAACAAUAUUUGUUACGUUUAUGUGAUUUUUAAAUGUUUCUUACAGUGUUGUUGUGUUUUUUUUUUCUCUCAUUAUCUUUGGUAGUCCAUGCUUCUUUUUGCCUUUUUGGAAGUAACACUAAAACUCAUCAUUAGUUUUAUAUGUGUUUUUGGUUUUCAUAUAUAAUUAGUGACUGAAGACGUAAGACUGUUAACUACAGGACUUCUCUAGACAAAUUCUGAGGACAGUGUAUAUUAUAAAUUUUGGAAUAUUUCUAUUUGUGGAAAAUAAUUGUUUCUAUACUGAAUGUCUUGCCUCUGUAUAUACUAACUGUCCAAAUAAGAUUUAAUACAUAAGAUCUUGCUGCACCUGCUGCACUCUGUGUUAAAUGUAGACAUGGGAAGAAGGCAAAUGCAGUUCUAUACUAUUGUACUUCCCCUUUUGAAGGAAUGGCUACAGUAUGUUCUCAGUGUGGAAGGUCUAGGACGUUCCAGUUCAUCAACGGGAGAAAAUAUGUACACAUUCAUAUAAAGUCAUUAUUAUUAUUAUUAUUACUAUUAUUGUAAGCACGAUACUUCAUGUUUGAAGGAAACAGUGAUUAAUGCCACAGGUUUUGCUCUUAGGAAGCAUAGAAAAGUAAAUACUACUGAAUGCUGAGUAAUAUGACAGAAAGAAGAUACCUGGAGGGACAUGAAGGAUUUCAGAUUUAUCCAAUACUGUUGCUUAUAUAGUGAGAAUUAUAAGAAUCUCAAAUACUAGAAGGUAAAAAAUGGUGGGAGAGGUUCAAGUAGAACAAAUUUCAGGCAGAAACUGGAGGCAAUAAAGAUGGCUCAUUUGGAACAUUGAGUAAUUUCUCAGAGCUAAGGUACAAAAUGGAGACUGCAGUGGUCAGUCAGAUAUAAAAUAUCAAAAGACAGAAUCACUGGGAAGGCACUGCUCAAAUGCUGAGGCAACAUCAGUUAAUCGCGGGGGUGGGGGGUGGUCUAAGCCCUAACAGGAAAGUAGGAAAGAAAUUUUACAGAAGUCUAUGGAAUAAAAAUCACAUCUUUUUUUCCUCCUCUUCUCUCAUAAAGUACAUCCCAACAGCAGUUUCUCCUCUCCUGACUCCUCCCAGUCUCCUCCCACCUCCUCUCUUUCAAAGAUCCACUCCUGCACUUCCCUUCAAAAAGAAAAAAAAAGUGCCAGACUCCCAGGGACAUCAAGCAAACACAGCAUAACAGGUUACAAUAAGACCAGGCACAAACAUAUCAAGGCUGGACAAGGCUCAGGCAAGAGAGUCAACAGUAGCACCCACUCCCACUGUUAGGAGUCCCACCGGAACACCAAGCUACAGGACCAUAACAUAAGCAGAGGACCUAGCUCAGCCCCAUAAAGUCAGGGUCUUAAUAGAACACGGGAAUGAAGGGAAACAUCCAGAACUUUGCCUUGAGCAUCAAGGUUUUAGCUUUAAAGGUUUAGAUGAAAUUGGUAUGAUUUCUUUAAAAAAGAUGUCAAAGAAGCCGGUGGGUAACGUGAGUCCCGAACAGAGAUGAGGCUUGAACUGAGACAGAUUUGGCAAAUCAGAGAAGUCACUAAAGUAGGAGAGAUUCCUCAGUAUAAGAUUGCAGGGUCCUAGGAUUCUAGAGUCACCCCAGGAUGCAAGAAAUGGGUGUGCAUGAUAUGAGACUGAUGAACGUAGUCAAAGGAUGAGAGAAUCGAGCAGAGACUGGAGGAAAAUGCCUUAAGAAAGCAGUGUGCUUCAGUCAGUCAUGAUGAGCAUUGAGGUGGCUCCAGGAAAUGCAGCAGGAGGUCACCCUCAUGCUGAGGGAUGGAACACCUAUGUGGAGCAAUAGUCGGAAAAGCCAAGUUCAGCGCCAGAUGCUAAGUGGUCAAAGAGGAAGUAAAAAAAAGAAGAAGAAGAAGAAGAAGAAGUAGCUGUGAGUGGCCAGGAGUUAGAAAGGCGGGCUGCAUCUGCUUAAAGUGAGCUUUAAAAAUGUCCAAAUGUCAAAGCCUGGGAGAAGGAAAAAAGGCUGAGGGGAUGACAUGUGAGGGUAGUCCUGAGACAGGUUAUUGAGUAUGGAUCUUCGGGGUUGGGGCCGGGAGGUUAGAACUUGUUCUGGACCAGAACUUCCUGUUUCUCUUAGAGCCAAGUGGGGGAGAUAAUGUGUCAGAAUAUAGUCAGUAAUCCAUGGGGGUGGGGUGGAGAUCUUGAAAUAUUCAAGUUCAUAUUUUUAUGAAUCAAGAGGUAAUCUGGGUCUAGGAAAUGACUUAGUAAAGUAUCUACUAUGUAUGCAUGAGGACAAGAAUUUGUAGCCCCAGACUCCAUGUUAAGUCUGGCCACAGAUGCACACAUCUGUAUCUAAGCGUUAAGAAGGCAGAGAAGGGUGAGUGACUGGAGCUCACUGGACUCCUGUCGGUCUAGCCAGAUUAUAAGUUCCAGUUUCAGUGAGAGACACUGUCUCAGAAAAUAAGGUGGAAAACUGUUAGAGGAAGGUACCCAGUGUUGACCUCUACCGCCACAUGCAUGUGCACAAGCGUGUACACUCACCCACAUCCACAUGCACAUACUACACGAACAUGUCCAUAACACACAUUCACAGAUGAUGUGCUCUACAGUGUGGUCGAAUUAGGAAACAUGAGGUUUGAAGAGCUGUCUCCAGAUCUACAGACCUGAAUAAUGGUGUAUUUUACCUCAGAAUACCUGUCAGAGUGUACAUGGGUUCAUCAUGGGUAUAAAUGAGAAGACUACAGAGAUCAGUCCAGUGUGAAGAACGUUCUAUGGACUCUAGGGAACUGUAUGAUCAAACUGAAUUGCUGCUACUCUCUUCUAAAGUAUAAAAUAGACAUGAGAGUAGGUUAAGGAAGUGAGCAUUUGAGGAGAUGUAGUUGACAUGUAUAAUACAGUGUUCAAGCUUGAACGCCAGGCCAAGGACAUGAUAGGCACACUACCACUGAGCUAGUGCCCCAGCUUUAAAAUGGGCUGUGUGAAGGGCGUGCUGAGGCCCAAAUAUACUGUAAUUACCAAACAGUAGUCAUACAGACAUUUGUUAAUGUUCAUGUUUCUCAAGUCCAGAGCAAACAUGCCUGUAUCUAAUUGGUAAAUAUUGUAACUUUGGAUAUAUGUGAGGAACUUGGUAAGACUAUACCUCCUAUGGACUUGAUAAUACUGUAGACUCAUUUAACUCAUCCUAAAAUGUUAAUUUUCUUCUUUAAAUAAUCAAGAAUUUGGAUUGUCAUAUAACUUUCAAAAUAUUCAAUUUGUCAGUUUCUAUUUUGUCUUCUCUUCUGAGAAAGUGACUGAAACGUUCCAUGUAUUUUGGCUUCAAAUGCUGCUUUUUACAAAAAUCUAUCACUCCUGUGUGAUUUUGAAAUGAUCAACCCCUUGCACUACCUGAGACCAGGGCUGAAACUGUAACCUACCCUCUCUCAUCCCCUUAGAACAUUCAUUCACUUGAUGAUUGAACACAAGAUGUUCUGUCAGAUUCAUGGGGCUGGGGUACAUCAUUACAGAGUAGUAUUAGACACUAUUAUAAUUUAUAUUAUUCCUCAUCAAUCAGGAGUGGAUUUUUCCUCUUGUUUCCCCUUAGGCACAGUUCCUUCUCAGUGUGGUGCAUUGCAGUUGCUCAACUUUCUCUGUCACUUUCUCUAUCCAUACUUGAAAGCACUCCUUUAUAGAGUUUUCUGAUAAGAGUUUCAGAAAAGAAUGUGACUGUAAAGAUAAGUUAUGUGCUGUAUUUAGCCCUGUUCUGCAUAAAAUAAAAAGUCCAAAUGACAAGGGCUUUGUAAUAUGCCACAGUAAAGGAAUGCUGUGACAAAUACUGUUAAGAGCAAGAUAAUCACAUUCUAGUACCUGAUUUUGCUUUUUAGAUGUUAGCUCAGAUGAGUUUACUAUGGCAUUUUUGAUAGAUUAUAGCUAUAAAACAUAAAUUUAUGGCUAGUUAAAUAAAAGAUCAAAGUGAUUUUUGUUCAUCCCCAAUUCUGCAGCUACAUCUUCCAACAACAGUUGCUUUAGCUCUGUGGUUGUAUCACAAGAGCAGUGUGCGUCCUUAUCCACCCGCAUGUGCGGGGUGGGGGGGUGGGGGGCGCUGUGGACACCAGGUUUUCCAUUUUAUAGAUUUGUAUUCUCUCCCUUCUGAUUGUUAGCAAUGUUUUUCUAGCUGAGGUAAAUUCAAAGGUCAUCCUCCUCUUUGAUGGCCAGCUGCUGACAUCUAUUCCCAGCUAAUUUCAUUGUUCACAUCUGCCACAUAUGAUCUUGUUGUCUCACUCAUGCCUCAAGUAAUCUCUGCCUUUUGUAUUUCUUCUCUCUCUCCCUCCCUUCCUUCCUCAAUCCCCCCUCCCUCCCUCUCUCACUCUCUCUCCCUCCCUCCCCCCCUCCCUCUCUCUCUCUUUGUUUUAAUUUAACUUUCUUGAGACAGACAUUCUGCAUUACACAGGCUAAGUUGAAACCCUGACCGUGAAGUGGCUGUCGUUCAAAACAUGGUCAUGGAACCACUCCAUAUUUGUUUCUUCACUUAAGAAUUCGGUAUUUGGACUGUAGACAUGGCUCAACAGUAAAAUGCACUGGCUGCUCUUCCAUAGCACCCAAAUUCCCAGAACACACAUGAACACCCAUACAAAUAAAAUAAUUAAAAUCCCUUCCAAAGAGAGGAGAGAGAGGCACAGGGGAGAGGAAGAGAAAGAAAAAAAAAAAUGAAAGAAGGAAGGAAGGAAGAAAAUCCAAAUUCAAGGGGGGUUUCUAGUGCUCCCCUUGAAAGUGUGCUCAAUAGCUUGUCUUUUUCUAUGCUGAUCUAAGAGUAAUAACAGUAAAAACAAAGAACUCAGAGCUCUUUGUCCAGCCCCCCUACUUCCUCGUUCUUUCCCUUACAUUUCUAGACCAUAAUAAAUAGUUUUCUUCACUGUGCCUCUGAGCAUCCUGGCAUCACAGCACUAAACCUGAUGCAGUUGCCUCUUGAUGCUUUACACUCCUCCCUGCCCCCCCCCCCCAAAUAACAUGGUAGGUGUCCAAAUGAUUUUUCCCCGCCUCCAUUUUUUUGUUUAUAUUAGUUUAAUUUUCUGCCAAACAUUGACUUCCUCCUCCUAGUUCUAGGCAACACUGGGAAGUUCAUUGUUUAUGUUUUGUUUCUGGUAUAAGAAGGUAGAAAAUUUGGCUUUUGAAAAACUGAGGAUGAGCCCAAGUUUGAGGCCAGGCUGGGCUACAUAGCAAACUCAAGACCCAGUCUCAUAAACAAGUUUGUCUUCUCUGUGCUAGCCAGUAUAAUAAAAGAUUUAUUUAUUUGCUUUUAUUUAUAUGAAUAUGCUGUAGCUAUCUUCAGACACACCAGAAGAGGGCAUCAGAUCCUAUUACAGAUGGUUGUGAGCCACCAUGUGGUUGCUGGUAACUGAACUCAGGACCUCUGGAAGAGCUCUUAAUCUCGGAGCCAUUUCUCCAGCCCCAGCUAGCCAGUAUAAUAAAUGCAUGGGAAACAACAGGAGGUGAAACCAAAUGCAAUUUUUACUUUUGUUUUUACAUUUAUUAAAUGAAGCAGAAAUGAAGCAAAUUAUUUCAGAACUUACUCAUAAGCUCUCAAUUAUUGUGUUGUGCUUUGAGAUUUUAUUAUACAAAGACUUUGUCUGAUCCAGAAAAUGCCUAUUACUGAACUUCAAUAGUAUAAUCGGUACUAAUUAGAUAAAGAGGAAAAAAAAAAAAAAACCCAUGAUACUAGAUAUGGUUACAUCUGAAGAAUAGAUAAGGGGUCCUCGAUGAGCCAUGAAUUAUUGUAGGUGACUUGCCAUCAUACACAGAAGAUUUAGAUUGCAUACGACUAGGAUAACUAUAUGAUGAUAUCCUAAAAAGGUCUCAGAUUCCGUUGUGAAAAGAGUCAUAUAGGACAAGAGUGAAAACAUAGAGCCUUGUGGUAGUCCAGGCGAAAUGUCUCUACUGUAGAACAGUGGGUCACAGUCUGCAGCAUGUGUUAUAGAUGCCAGAAGUACUUAUCUAAAGAGAUGACUGGGUGUCAUCCACAAAGUUGGAUUCCGCAGCUGUGGAGUGCAGCAAGUGAUGCUUAUGCUGAUGAUCCAAGGGCCUCACUUUGAAAGCCAUUGGCCUAGAGGGUAGUAUUAAAGAGAUGCGAAGAUUAAUUCUUCACUGAUGUUAGCAUGGCAAGUUUCUAGCAAAAUACUUGAGGUAUAUUCAAAUUUUGCUGAUAUGUUUCUGUUAAUUCAAACUAAUUUGUAAUUUUAUUAAAAAAAUCAUUUAAUUGCAAUGAAUUCACAAGUAAAAAGAUCAUGCAGCUAGAUCAAAGUGCCACAAAAACAUUUUCCCAUCCCCAAACUCUACGUUUCAAAGAACUUCACAGUAAAAAGUGGCCAUUCUGAAGCCAUGAAGCUUGGCUUACUUAGGCUUUUACACUUUCACUACCAAUUACAUUUUUUUUUUUGCAAUUAUCUGCCACAAUAAAAUAAGAAAAAAAGACAUAUUGGAGUUGAAACCAGAAAAACAGUUAGCUUUAGAUAUCCUCUUCACAACUCAGGUGUCCUUUGCCUACAUCUUAUGCUUCCUCAUGUGAUACUAUCCUCCUUUCAAUUCUUUUAAUUUGAUCUACCCUAUGUAUUAUUUCAAACUUUGUUUUUGUUGUUCAGUUUACAAAUAGUUGAGACCUUUAUUGAAACCUUAGUGAUUUCUGAUUUAUUUGUGGCCUUAAAGAAUAAUUUACAUCAAUCCAGUCUUUUUUAAUUGACAGAUUUAGUUUAUAUUGCAGGAUCUUAUUUAUUGCAUUUUAUUUGUUUACUUACCUGUUGGUGGUCAUAUGUGCAUAUAUGGUACAUAGGAAGAUCAGAGGACAACUUGUAGAAGUCAGAUCUCUCCUUCCAACAUGGAAUCAUACUCAGCUCAUCAGCUACCCAUGGGGCCAUCUCCUUAGCCUUCAGGUUCCAGAACCCAUUUAAGUAUUCCAAAAUAAUCCAUUUUUGAAAAUAGUGUGGAGGCUACAUCUGUUGAAGGCCCUGUGAAUGCCAGUGGUCCAAGUUGCUGAAUGAGCCUGCUGUUGUCAGUUUUCUCACUAAAUUUCAGUCUUGUCUGUUCCUUAGAGAAGCCUUAGCCUGCAAAGCGGGUUGGGGGUAUUCCUUUCUUUUAAGUCUCACUUCAUGUCUUUUAUAGCACUGUAUUGGGUGCAUAUAUAAUUAGAAUCAUUAACUGCUUUAUUGAUUUUUUUUAAUUGUGGAAUAACCGUAAUGCCUAAAAAAACCCUGUAUUAUAGACUCUAUUUUAUUUUGUAAUGACCAUUCUGACUCACUUUUCAGUAUUUGUAUAUCUUUUCUGUAAUUUCAUUUUUUACAAUUAUGAUUUUAUAUUUACUUGGGUUUUUCCUAAAUAACAUAUGGUUGAGGCUUAGGCUCUCCCCUCCCCCAAUUUGAUACCUGCCUUUUACUAAGCCACUUAUAUUUCAUGUUAUUAUUAAUAUGAUUCAGUUUCAGUCAGCUGAAACAUUUUCUAUUUUAGCCUAAUUUUUUCCCCUCAGGGUCUAUAUAUUUUAAUAGUCUAUUUAGUCUCUUAAAUUACUCUUAAAAAAUGGUUGCUAUUCUGGACCUAUUGACCCAAGCUUGGAAGCCCAGCUACUUGGAGGCAGAGGCUAAAGAAUCUCACGUUUGAGGCCUUCCUGGAUAGCUCAGUGAUGCUCUUUCUUGAAAAUUUUAAAAAAGGGCUGGGGAUAUAUUGUAGCAUACAUGGGUGACACCCUAGAUAGCAUCACCAGGGCCAUACAUACAACUUAAAAUGGAGCUAUUAGAUUUACACUAUAUAUCAUUACAUCACCUUCAAAUAUUCACUUCAUGAAUAAUAAAUUUUAUUACAUUUUUACUUCCUUCCCCAAGUCUUUGUGCUGUUGCUGCCAUAUAUUUUAUUUCUAUAAAUAUAUAAAUUAUACAAAUACUAUUUCAGGAAUACUAAUUCCACUCUUCCUAUUUUUUCUUUAAACAAUAUAAUUUUGCAUUUUCUGUUGCUAUAACAAAAUAUAUGAGGUGGACACUUUAUAAAGAACAGAAAUUUAUCUCAUCUUGACUGAACUCUAGAGAUCAAGCAGCCCCAACCAACUCUUUAGACUUCUUCAAGGCAGGGGCCCCAAAAUCAGAGGCAGAAAGUGAAAUGACUACCUAAGGCAGGUGGGUCUUGUAAAAAAAAAACUACAUGAAUCACUUUUGAGAAUAGUGUCAUCCCAAUGGGCAACACAGCGGGAAGUUCUACUGCCUACAAUACCAUGGCACUUCUAGAGACAUGAACCCGUCGAGGGGACACACAAGCCACAUCCAGUCUGAAGUGCAUAGUCAUCUUCCAAGCACAUUUAAAAAAUAAUUUUUCCUUUUCAUGACUUCGUUUUUGUGCUUUUUAAAAAAUAAAUCAAGCUUUCCAUCUAAUAUCAUUUCAUUCUUCCUGCAUCUUUUUCCUGAGUCUCCAGUGCGUGGUUCUGCUGUGGGUUAUUUUCCCUCAUCCUUUUCUUUUUAUGUGGCAUUCCUUUUCAAGGGGUACCUUGUGAGCUGGGCAGAGAGAUAGACACCUGUAUCCAGCUUAAUGUGGGAGGCAGAAGGAUCAUGGGUUUGAAGGCAUCCUGGUCUAUAUAAGGACUUAUUCAUGGCCACCCUGAGCUACUUGGACCUUUAAUAACACAGGCACUGGGAUGGGGGUGGGGGGUUGCUCAGUGGUAGAGCAUUUGCUGAGCAUUGAUAAGGCCUAGAGUUUGAUCCCAAACACUGCAAAUAACUUUUUUUUUCAUUGACAUGGACUUCAAUUUAAUUGAUUUUAGUCUUUUAAAGGUUCUUUUUACCUUGCUGCUCCUGAAAUUACGUCUGUGGCUCUGGUUAAUUUUAUCUCCUGUAUGUUAAUUUUCCCCUGAAUUAGCAGUUUGAUCAUGAAGAUUCUUAGCACGAUUCCCUGUUUCCUCUUAGUAUUUGUUAGGCACCUUGAAUAUGUGGGUUUAGUCAUUCAUAACCAUUGUUCUUCAGUAAGUAUCCAUCUGUCUUUACUUCUGUGAUGUGUGUCAUAUGUAUUCUGCCCAUGUCAGAUACUAAUUUCAGUAGUUACCUCUCUUCCAUUGUGGCUAGUAUUAAUCAUGUAUUUUUCUGUCAUUGACAAUUCUUAGUUAAUUGUGUAGUCUGUUGUCAGUACCACACAGAAUGUUUCCCACUUUGUGGAGUAUGUGUUACAUGUAGUUUCCAGUACCCUGCUUUAAGCUCCAGGUGGACCUCACUCCCAGCCCAAAGAAUAUUGGAUCUGCAGAUGGAAACAGAGAGAGAGAGAGAGAGAGAGAGAGAGAGAGAGAGAGAGAGAGAGAGAGAGAGAGAGAGAGAGAGAGAGAGAGACUGACUGCCUGCCUGAUUGGCUCAAUUGCUGGGCACUUCUACUCUCCCACAACUAACAUGCCCUUCCCAAUAUUCUUUACUCUGCACCUCUUAAUCUGCCCUUAGCUUAGUUAUCCUGGUUACCGUCUCCUUGUUCAAAAACCCAAAACUGCCUUCAGCUUAGUUGUGUUUCUAAUCUCCCACCUGGGAAAGUAGCCUAAGAGCUCACAUGGCUGGUUUUUCUCCCUCCAAAGCAUGGUCAAAUCCCUCUUUCUGCAUCUCUUAGCCUGCCUGAGGGGACCUAGAGGUCGCACCUCUUUCCUUCCACCCUGCAGCUGGCCCCUGGCAUCUUUCAAUCAAGAACCAGUUGGGGAACAGGACUUUAGCAUCAGCAACUCUCCCUACAAGUAUGCCCAUCUCCAUUUCAGACUUGCUAUUUGUGCUGCUCAUUUCCCACUGUAUUCUCCACUUGAACUUACAGAACUUAUAUUUUCAAUACCUGUAUUGUCAUCCUUUUGUGCUAACUUUGUAAUUUGUAUUAUCUGUCCCUGUAGAGUGAAUUUGUGUUGUUAGGAAUCAUAUUUUCCUGUUUUCAUGCCUACUAACUUGUAUAAAAUGUGAGGCAUUGUGAGUUUUAAGUUGUUUUCUGCUGGGUCUUUCUUUUCUUCAUGAUUCUUUACAUGUUUUGGACUCUUACUGAGAAAUACUUUAAUCCUUUCAAGUCAUCUUUAAGCAUUACUAGCAAAAGCCAGAGUAGCUGUUAGUCUACAACAUUUGGUACUCAAGGGAUGGUUUUGCUCCACAGACGACAAUUUUUGACACAUUUAAAGACUGCUGUGGGCAUCAGGCAGAUAGAGGCCCAGAGAUGUUGCUAAACAUCUUACAGUGGAUAGGCCGACCUUCACAAUAAAGAAUCAUGUGGCUCCCGAAUGCUAUGAUUAGAAAGUUUUCCAUCUGAGCAAUCUUAACACUCACUUGAAGAGUCUUAGAAGAUCCAAAGUCUGAUAGGUGGGAUUGUAAAUUAUAUCCAGAUAGGAAUGGCUUCAUAAUUUUCACAGCUUUGGUAAAGACUCAUGUCCUUCUCUUCACAUCACCAUGUAUCUAAACACCUGGGAACACCCAGGUGUUUAGUUCUGCUUGAUUCUAUUUUUGCUCUUCCAGUGAAUACAAAUAUGAGAGUAGAGAUCCUUGCUGUUUUGUCCACCAUUUCUUGUAGUUCUGGGGUAUACAGUAGUAAAUAUUCCUCUUCCCCAAAAAUUUCUCUCAGCAGCUUUCAACUGUCUCCUAUACUCAACUACAUCUAAUGCCUCCUGGGUUCCUCUUCCCAUCGUGCAACAUGGAAAUCCAGGUGUCAAGCCAGUUGUCAGAAAUCAGUUAUACUGCCCUGCCCUGUAUAUUUUAACCUUUCGUUUAAGCUGUUUCAAAGCCAGAAGGCAAAUCUGGUUCCUAUUACUUUAUUGUGGCCAAAGCAGAUAUCCCAGAUUUAUUCUUUCAGCAAGCAUUUGUCCAGUUUUUAUGUGGUAGAUACUGGAAAGAAAUGGUGGACAAAACAGCAAGGAUCUCUACUCUCAUAUUUGUAUUCACUGGAAGAGCAAAAAUAGAAUCAAGCUGUGUUGAAGAUGUUGAACUCUAGAAUUAAUUUCUUAGGGGAUAACUUUGGGUUGAGAGAGGGAAAUCCUUUGUGAUACUGGGGGUUAAGAUAGCACUUACAAACACAACAGAAUGGGUUAGGAUCUUGCAGACCUUGCAGAGUGAGAAGCAAACAAAGCGUGGAACUCACCUUUGAGAGAAUCUCAGCCUUUAUUUUCCAGAUGAAGUGGCUUACGGUGGGAAAGACAGCAAAGUAAUGUGUCUGGUCUUAAAUGCCUAAAACUGUUUCAGGAAGAAAGAUGGGAUAGUUUGGUCUCCUUGGGUUGACACAAAUACUACAAACUUACUGCUUAAACAGUCAUUUGCUUUCAGUUCUGAAGGCAGGGGACCCACAACUACCAGCAGGAUUUGGUUUCUGGUGACUGUUUCCUGGAUUACAAAAUAGCAGCCUUCUCACUGUGCUCUUACAUUGCAAAAAUGACUCUGGUAUCGCUUCCCCAGAGGAGGAUACUAAUCUACUCUGUACAACUCUGAUUUAUCUUAAUUACUUUCCAAAGGCCCUAUCCCUAAGGUGAAGGCAUAGCAGAGACCAUCAGUAUUGAACGGUGAGAAAACAAGAUGAGACAUAAAGAUGGGAGUCAUCAGUGCAAUCAUCAGGAGUGAUCUGAGUAAGAAGUACUAUUUUCAUGGAGCACUGGAAGCCAGAUAGGUUUAUUUACUGAAGACAUGAGAAGAUUGUAAUACCACGUGCAGGAUUAUUCAUUUAAGGCACCUAAAGGAUUAAUGAAGAACACGAGUUACGGGAAAUUCUUGUUCAAGGUUAAAACUGCACUGACUCAAACCAUCUUGCAUGCUACAAAUGAAAACUGAUGAGAAAGUGGAUUUGUCUGAUGGGAACACAGCAAGCUGCCCAUUGAGCCCCAUUAAGAUGUGCCUUAAUCAUCCUAUUGAAUGGAAUCUAACAGCAGCAUCUCUAGCAAGCUGUACAGUUCAUAACCAAAAUCUCAAAAGUGAAGAAAAUUAGUCUGCAGCCCUUGCACUAUCUUUAUUUUCUAUGUCAAUAUUCUUUCUCAUGAAAACCAAUUGAUACUAAACUGUUUCUAGUCCAGUGAUCUGUCUUUAUAUUAGGUCAUUAGCAUUAAUCAUUUUAGUAUAAUUCUGUUUUUACAUACAUUAUACAAGACCAUUGUGGGAUUUUACAACAAAAGCAGAUUUUGAUGUUCUCUUUUUAUCAGUGAAUUUUUUAAUGCUCUCAGCUUAAAUAUGUAAUUGCCCAGUUCUAUUUCUGUGCAGUUUUCACAUAUAACAAAUUCUGUAAUUUAGAAAGCUUGUAUUGUAAAGAUGUGUGAUAAUGACCUAACCCGUGAACAGUUGUGUAACAGGUGGAUGCUAACUACCUCGAAGCAAACUGGGAAAGGCAAAGGUAUCAGUUAGAAGUAUAUCUCUUCUAAAGUUAUAUAUGUAUAGAAAAAGAUUGAUUAGCUUAUUAAAUAGCAUGUUUUCAUUCAUUAAAAAAAAUGGGUUAUCAGUUCCCUUUCUGUAAUUUAAACCACUCAUCUGUGGGCCGUAAGAGCAACGGCACAAUUGCAUGUUUACUCUUCAGCAAAUCUGUGCCUCGAUGGUAAGCAAGGACACUGGUUUAAGUUCACAAUUGUGAAUGGAAAAACAAACACACACACACACACACACACCAAAGGUUAUGUUUUUUAAACCUAUUGGUUGUAUUGUAUUUUAGCAGUUUGUUCCAAAGUUUACAGGGGUGUCUUGCAGAAGUAGGACAAUAUUCCUUAGUAAUGCUAAUGAUGCUAGGUAUACCUGCAGCCACAGCUAUUGUCUAAAAUCUGAGUAGUAAAACUGCUACUAAUGGAUUGGUGCUUAAAGUCAGAGAAAAGCAAACUUCAGUAGUGUCUACAUGAUCAUAGCUUCUUUCCUUUUGGCUACUCUGCACAUGUCUAAAUGAGAUGAUAGUUCAUUCCUAGUGGCUUUCCCUUACACCAUGCCAUUCUAGCCCUGCUCACUUCCUGUUCCCCAUGAAUUUAAGACAAGGAUUUAACAAGAACUAUAUCAAUAAGAAAUAUGAAGCACAGGAAAAGACAUAGAGCCAAAAGAUGGACAACAGUGUUUUUCAUUGGUUUGUAUCAUUACCAUAUCAUUCCUUUUGCUUAAUAAGCAUUCUUGCUUUGUAACUCUGACUCCUUUUCUCAUUUCUAUAAAGCACAUGUUAUGUGUAUAGACUGAAUAGCCUUUUGGUUUUAAAAGCCAGCAAUACCUUUCAUUCCAUCUCAGAACAACUGUUAAAUGGCCUCUGAUAAAUAAAUUUAAUGAAGCAGAAGCACAAUAAAAAUUUCAUGUUAGGACAUUUUUAUCCAAAUAAAAGGUGUUUCCUUGGGUAUGGCAGAAAGAAAAGGGACUACUUUUAUGUUUCACAGCAAUGACAAUUUCCUAAGAUAACUGAAAUGAACAGUGAAGAAACUGUGCUCAUAAAUCAGUACAUAAAGAUUACUUCCUAGGACUUUUAUUUCCCAUUAGUAUUAUUUAUUAUUCAAGGUAGAGUAUGUUUUGAUGUGCCAAAAACCAAUGUAUCUUUCAUGAUUAAUGUGUGUGUGGGCAGCACCCUAAUCUAGAAUUCAUUCAUAAAAUAGUGUUCCUACAUAGAAAAAUUUAGGAAGAGAAAUUACCCAUUGUGGUAAAGUUAUCAAAUAAAUACUGAGUAUAGGAAUGAUGCAGUUUCUCAAAGCCAUUGUUUAAUGUAAAUAAGGAGUCUGAAGUCAUGUGGCAUCAUUCAUGUUUCCUGAAACAGAGCAGGCUUUCUGACUUUAUCAUAGUAACUAUUAAAGCAAAGUUAUAAGCACAACUUCAAAGGACUUCAUCCUUAUCAGCUCUCUUAACUUGUAUCUUCAUUAAGGAACUCUGCAAGGUUAAGUUUACUUUUCUGUAGCGCAGCUGUUUUGGCUCGUCUGGGUAAUCUCAUCUUCAUUUCUGAUGGUGGUUCAUGAUCACUAAACAGAUGUAAAAAAACACAUGCAUUUAGAUAUAAGCUUUAAAAAUCAGAAUAUUUAUAAAUAAAACAUUUUGGUUUCUCACAUUCCAAUAUUGUGUAAUAGCCUGAGUCUAAUAACUAAGCUUAAAACUAAAAUUUCAAGCAAUAACCAAAAAACUAAUGGCUGGAUGGGUGUCCUGCCAAGUGAAUCAGAAAAAUCUAACUAAUCUGGUGAUUUUUUAAUCUACUGUUAAAACCUGGUGUCAUACAUACAGGGAAAGAAGCAAGCACAAGCUUUUACAGUAAAGCUUGUAAUCACAUGGGGACCAUACAAUCAUCCUAAAGGAUUUAGAAUUCAAGUGAAAAAACAAACAAACAAACAUUACUAUGUUAUCUUAAUUUAUUUAGUAUACUGCUAAAACAUUGUAAAGUUCCCCCAAAAGCACUUUAGCCAAGGCUUAAUCUAAGAAAACAUGCAAGGUCCAAUACUAAUGACUAAACGAAUGCAAGACAGCUACAAACUUCUCAAGCUCAACCUUGUCUUUGCAGUGACAAAAAACAAACAAACAAAAAAAACUAUUAACACAAACCACUAGUACUUUAAACUUAUAAGCAAAAUUGUAACUCAAAGAAUCUAAAUAUUAUCUAAAUCAAGAUAAGAGUUACAUAUAUAAGGUCAUGUAAACAGAAAACAUGGAAAUACAUGGAAACUCUUGUUUCCAUACAAAGAGAAUAUAUCAAACUAAAACUGACGCCAACUAAUAAAAAUAUACAACUCUUCAUAAGUCAAAUGUUCUAGAUAUUUUUAGACUAUUGACCAAGAUCACAGAUAAUUAUGGUUUCCACUAUCUGGUAAUAUACAAAGUUUCUCUCACAAGAAAAUUACAAUAUUCUAUAUACUUCUGAGCAAAAAAAACUGGUUGGCAUCUUCUGUCUUAUAGAAAUACAUGAUGUACCUUUCAGAGUCUGGCCCAGCAAUCUGGCGUCUCCUGUUGGUCUUAGAUGAAACUGGCGCUUUUCUACAUCCUUAAAGACAGCAUAGCUUAUUGGCACAAUGUUUAAUGGUUUCGUGUUUCUAAAUCUGGUUACCAAGCCAUCCAAAUCUUUUACUUUCAGCACAACAAUCUUUUCCAAUACACUUCCUUAUUCCUAUCCACUCUGACGCUCUCAAUACAUAGUGGAGGGGGAAAAUACUAAAAUUUAUGUAAAUUUCUUUGGAUGAGCACUACAAAUAUGUGACAAAGAGGCAAACUUUAGGUCACAUGUGAUGACAAAACCAUCUCAGGCUGAGUGUGAUAGCUCAUUUGGAAAAGUUCUGGCUUUGUUAAGGAUAGAGUUUAAGUGCCAGAACCCAGAUAACAGUGAGGUGUGGCAGCACAUGCUUAUGAUCCCAGCACUGGGAAGGCAGAGACAUGCAGGGGCUCUGCCUAGAUCCCUAGGUGGUCAUCUAGCCUAGCCUACUUGGAGCACUCCAGGCCAGUGAGAAAGUCUUGACUCAAAUGCAAGUAGACCAUGACUAAGGAGUCUCCACAUUAAGACUUAUACACACAUAAAUGAAUGAUCACACACUCAUAUAAAACAGUUUUCUCUUAGAGCAGAGGUAGAGUUAAUAUAGAAAAACUAACAAAAAUCUUACAAGGGCAAGCUCAAUCAAUGAACAGUUUCUAGAUGGAACUGCAUUUUUAUUACAUAUAUUUAUCUUUGAAGCACUACAUUGCUUAGCUAGUCUGUCCUCAAAUUGAUGAGCUCAAGCUAUCCUCACACAGCCUCUAGAACAGCCAUUAUUACAUCUAACACUGUACCUGGCUUCAAAAGAAGUUUACACAGCAAGAUACAGGUUGCUUGUAAAACACUUAAACUUAUACAUAGAAAAUUCAAAUGUGUUCAUAAAUAUAACUCAAUGUUUUUUAAAAAAAUAAGAGCCUUUAUUCACCAGGGUUUGCUAUAUUCUACAAGGUUGAAAACUAAGGACUAGGGACUGUGCUCAGUGGGUAGCGUGUUUGCCUAGCAUGUAGAAAUCCUGGUUUGCUCAACCAUGUAAAAUGGAGCAUGGUAAUCCAACACCUAUAGUCCCAACCUGUAAUCAGAAGUUCAAGGUCAAAAUAGUGACUUUGAAGCUAUCCUAGGAUAUAUGAGAACCUAUACUGAAAAAAGUCAUAACAAAUUUGGCCUACAAUGUUCUUAAUUGUAUAUAAUGUAUACAUACAUGUAGUAUGUAUACAUUAAGUUUGAACUAUUAAAAAAUGGAGUUUUCAUACUUUAUUCUGUAACUAAAAAUAAUCUGAUCAAAAUCAAUUGUUCACUUGACAAUUUAUAUGAAAACUGUAUAUUCUAUUCAUUGUUAUAUAUUUCCACCUCAUAUCUUAUUUGUUUUCAAUAAUGUAUUUAUCCCCAAGAAAACAUCCAAAAAUAUGGAAGUAAUUUGGAACAAUAUCCAGUAAUUGUUUAAAUAACUGGUUUGUUAUAAAACAAUGUUAUGGCCAGAUUCUAUUCUAGAAAAGAUUAAACAUACUUAGAACAGAGCCAUAAAACUAUUUUCAAUAAUUAAAAUCAUGUUUGGCUCAUGGGUGUGACUAUUAGUGUUCUUGAUGGUAGGUCUGCCUGGAUGUACUUUCUUAGUCUUCUGUAAUAAGCAUGCAUUGCUUUUGUAAUAAGGAAUUAAUAAAACAACUUUAAAAGCCUUGAA
RNA transcript from Mus musculus (house mouse), 24220 nucleotides. It is a transcript of the gene named ligand dependent nuclear receptor corepressor-like, with no coding region annotated. The transcript has 8 exons. Lineage: Eukaryota; Metazoa; Chordata; Mammalia; Rodentia; Muridae. The record is from RefSeq and is marked validated.